UACGGGGGGGGGCAAGCGUUGUUCGGAAUUACUGGGCGUAAAGGGCUCGUAGGUGGCCAACUAAGUCAGACGUGAAAUCCCUCAGCUUAACUGGGGAACUGCGUCUGAUACUGGAUGGCUUGAGUUUUGGGAGAGGGAUGCGGAAUUCCAGGUGUAGCGGUGAAAAUGCGUAGAUAUCUGGAGGAACACCGGUGGCGAAAAGCGCUCUACUGGGGCCCUGCACUGACACUGAGGGGACGAAAAAGCUAGGGGGAGCAAUGGGG
This 263-nucleotide ribosomal RNA is filed under the name uncultured bacterium. RNAcentral's name for it is "partial 16S ribosomal RNA". It matches the Rfam family "Bacterial small subunit ribosomal RNA", at positions 524 to 776 of the family's 1533-position model. The record is from RNAcentral.